UACGUAGGGGGCUAGCGUUGUCCGGAAUCAUUGGGCGUAAAGCGCGUGUAGGCGGUUCGGUAAGUCCGCUGUGAAAGUCGGGGGCUCAACCCUCGAAUGCCGGUGGAUACUGUCGGACUGGAGUACGGAAGAGGCGAGUGGAAUUCCUGGUGUAGCGGUGAAAUGCGCAGAUAUCAGGAGGAACACCAAUUGCGAAGGCAGCUCGCUGGGACGUUACUGACGCUGAGACGCGAAAGCGUGGGGAGCAAACAGG
RNAcentral lists this ribosomal RNA (253 nucleotides) under uncultured bacterium. RNAcentral describes it as "partial 16S ribosomal RNA". It matches the Rfam family "Bacterial small subunit ribosomal RNA", at positions 524 to 776 of the family's 1533-position model. The record is from RNAcentral.